GUCUUAACUGGGCGUUAAGUUGCAGGGUAUAGACCCGAAACCCGGUGAUCUAGCCAUGGGCAGGUUGAAGGUUGGGUAACACUAACUGGAGGACCGAACCGACUAAUGUUGAAAAAUUAGCGGAUGACUUGUGGCUGGGGGUGAAAGGCCAAUCAAACCGGGAGAUAGCUGGUUCUCCCCGAAAGCUAUUUAGGUAGCGCCUCGUGAAUUCAUCUCCGGGGGUAGAGCACUGUUUCGGCAAGGGGGUCAUCCCGACUUACCAACCCGAUGCAAACUGCGAAUACCGGAGAAUGUUAUCACGGGAGACACACGGCGGGUGCUAACGUCCGUCGUGAAGAGGGAAACAACCCAGACCGCCAGCUAAGGUCCCAAAGUCAUGGUUAAGUGGGAAACGAUGUGGGAAGGCCCAGACAGCCAGGAUGUUGGCUUAGAAGCAGCCAUCAUUUAAAGAAAGCGUAAUAGCUCACUGGUCGAGUCGGCCUGCGCGGAAGAUGUAACGGGGCUAAACCAUGCACCGAAGCUGCGGCAGCGACACUAUGUGUUGUUGGGUAGGGGAGCGUUCUGUAAGCCUGUGAAGGUGGCCUGUGAGGGUUGCUGGAGGUAUCAGAAGUGCGAAUGCUGACAUAAGUAACGAUAAAGCGGGUGAAAAGCCCGCUCGCCGGAAGACCAAGGGUUCCUGUCCAACGUUAAUCGGGGCAGGGUGAGUCGACCCCUAAGGCGAGGCCGAAAGGCGUAGUCGAUGGGAAACAGGUUAAUAUUCCUGUACUUGGUGUUACUGCGAAGGGGGGACGGAGAAGGCUAUGUUGGCCGGGCGACGGUUGUCCCGGUUUAAGCGUGUAGGCUGGUUUUCCAGGCAAAUCCGGAAAACCAAGGCUGAGGCGUGAUGACGAGGCACUACGGUGCUGAAGCGACAAAUGCCCUGCUUCCAGGAAAAGCCUCUAAGCAUCAGGUAACAUCAAAUCGUACCCCAAACCGACACAGGUGGUCAGGUAGAGAAUACCAAGGCGCUUGAGAGAACUCGGGUGAAGGAACUAGGCAAAAUGGUGCCGUAACUUCGGGAGAAGGCACGCUGAUAUGUAGGUGAAGCGACUUGCUCGUGGAGCUGAAAUCAGUCGAAGAUACCAGCUGGCUGCAACUGUUUAUUAAAAACACAGCACUGUGCAAACACGAAAGUGGACGUAUACGGUGUGACGCCUGCCCGGUGCCGGAAG
RNAcentral lists this ribosomal RNA (1211 nucleotides) under Escherichia coli. RNAcentral describes it as "partial 23S ribosomal RNA". It matches the Rfam family "Bacterial large subunit ribosomal RNA", at positions 681 to 1875 of the family's 2925-position model. Lineage: Bacteria; Pseudomonadati; Pseudomonadota; Gammaproteobacteria; Enterobacterales; Enterobacteriaceae. The record is from RNAcentral.